GGAUGUGAGGGCAAUUGGCUGUGACAUCUGUCAACCCAUUGAUCGACAGAGUUGACUCAGCUGAUUUAGCUGGCAGAUAGUCCCAUCCUCCAUGUAUGUCCCUUCCUCUCACAGGUGGGGAACAAUCUUUGAUCAAGGCUAUGAGCAGUUGCACUCACAGGCUAGAACCUCCAGACAAGCUUCUGGUUUGUGAGUCACCAUGUUGGUGCUUGGAAUUGAACCCAGAUCCACUGGAAAAGCAGCCAGUAUUAUUAAUUGUUGAGUCAUCCCU
Unclassified non-coding RNA from Cricetulus griseus (Chinese hamster), 271 nucleotides. Its record names the gene 7SK. It matches the Rfam family "7SK RNA". From Rfam's summary of the family: 7SK was discovered as an abundant small nuclear RNA in the mid-70s but a possible function has only recently been suggested. Two independent studies have found that 7SK RNA binds the CDK9/cyclin T complex (known as elongation factor P-TEFb). The record is from Ensembl. NCBI's taxonomy places the organism in Eukaryota, Metazoa, Chordata, Mammalia, Rodentia, Cricetidae.